Molecule: ribosomal RNA, 432 nt
Filed under: uncultured bacterium
Lineage: Bacteria
Description: partial 16S ribosomal RNA
Rfam family: Bacterial small subunit ribosomal RNA
Source: RNAcentral
ACGCACGCUGGCGGCAUGCCUCACCCCUGCCAGUCGAACGAGACCUUCGGGUCUAGUGGCGCACGGGUGCGUAACGCGUGGGAACCUGCCCUUAGGUUCGGAAUAACUCCCCGAAAGGGGUGCUAAUACCGGAUAAUGUCUUCGGACCAAAGAUUUAUCGCCUUUGGAUGGGCCCGCGUUGGAUUAGCUAGUUGGUAGGGUAAAAGCCUACCAAGGCGACGAUCCAUAGCUGGUCUGAGAGGAUGAUCAGCCACACUGGGACUGAGACACGGCCCAGACUCCUACGGGAGGCAGCAGUGGGGAAUAUUGGGCAAUGGGCGAAAGCCUGAUCCAGCAAUGCCGCGUGAGUGAUGAAGGCCUUAGGGUUGUAAAGCUCUUUUACCCGGGAUGAUAAUGACAGUACCGGGAGAAUAAGCUCCGGCUAACUCCGUG